Molecule: long non-coding RNA, 956 nt
Organism: Callorhinus ursinus (northern fur seal)
Lineage: Eukaryota; Metazoa; Chordata; Mammalia; Carnivora; Otariidae
Source: RefSeq, a predicted model, not a curated record
CCCAUCUCUCCGAGGAUGGGAGUGAGCAAUUGAGGGCAAGAUCUCUCCCAGCAGCAAACAGGAACCACGUGAGAACCCUGGGGAGCAACUUUGGGGGCUCUGCCAGCCAACCCCUACUUCUUCAGCAUCUAGUCCGUCCGAGGCAGUGUUUUGGCGCUCGACUAAACAAAGGAGGUCCCUGCUCUCGGGAAGUUUUCUAGUAAGAAAACAUCAGCAUAUCAAAGGUAUUUGAGAAUCAUGGAUCCAACACCCAGUGAGAGAGUAUAGCAGAGGUCCAGAUCGCUCCUGGAUGCGGGGGAUUGACCCAUGUGGAGAAGAAAGCUGUGAAGGAGGAAGAAAACCAGGCUAGAGUCUGGGGUUACGGAACACUGGGGAGGUGAUCAUCGCAUAACAUGGCUGUGAAGAGUUUUGCAGUUGAAGACUUGGCUCUGCAAGUCACACAAACGAGCUCUGAACCUCAGAGCUUCCACUUCCGCCUUCUCCUCGUAAAAUCGUAGUAUAAUCGUAGAAUCUUGUCACAUUGGCCAUUGUGUUGUCACAGAGCCAUUGCAGCCUGGAGGCAGCAACAUUGUCUAUUUCUCCCACUUGCCUAUCCCUAGUGCCUAGCACUAGGGCCUGACGGAAGCUCAGUAAAUGUUUGCUGAAUUAGUGAAUCUCUGAAAUGUUAAACUGACAUCACAAGGAGGACAUAGACCAAAAAGGGGAAGACAUAGGAUCCAAGAAACAAGAAUUCAAACCCAAGAAAAGUUGUUAGGGUAGAUCCUAAUCCAAUAUGACUGGUGUCCUUAUAAGAAAAGGAAAUUAGGACACAAACGAAACAGAGGGAUAACCUUGUGAGGAUCCAGAAGACAGCCAUCUGCAGUCCAAAGAGCAUGGCCUAGAAGAAAGCAAACUUGUCAACACCGUGGUCUUGGACUUCCAGCUUCUGGAACUGCAAGAAAAUACAUUUCUGUUAG